RNAcentral lists this transfer RNA (73 nucleotides) under Planctomycetota bacterium. RNAcentral's name for it is "tRNA-Asn". It matches the Rfam family "tRNA". Rfam says of the family: Transfer RNA (tRNA) molecules are approximately 80 nucleotides in length. Their secondary structure includes four short double-helical elements and three loops (D, anti-codon, and T loops). Further hydrogen bonds mediate the characteristic L-shaped molecular structure. tRNAs have two regions of fundamental functional importance: the anti-codon, which is responsible for specific mRNA codon recognition, and the 3' end, to which the tRNAs corresponding amino acid is attached (by aminoacyl-tRNA synthetases). tRNAs cope with the degeneracy of the genetic code in two manners: having more than one tRNA (with a specific anti-codon) for a particular amino acid; and 'wobble' base-pairing, i.e. permitting non-standard base-pairing at the 3rd anti-codon position. Lineage: Bacteria; Pseudomonadati; Planctomycetota. The record is from RNAcentral. RNAcentral also lists the same sequence under 1 other name.
UCCCCGAUGGCUCAAUGGGUAGAGCGAGCGGCUGUUAACCGCUAGGUCGUAGGUUCGAGUCCUACUCGGGGAG